GGAUUAGAUCCCCUGGUAGUCCACGCUGUAAACGAUGUCGAUUUGGAGUUUGUUGCCUAGAGUGAUGGGCUCCGAAGCUAACGCGAUAAAUCGACCGCCUGGGGAGUACGGCCGCAAGGUUAAAACUCAAAUGAAUUGACGGGGGCCCGCACAAGCGGUGGAGCAUGUGGUUUAAUUCGAUGCAACGCGAAGAACCUUACCUGGUCUUGACAUCCAUAGAAUUCUGCAGAGAUGUGGGAGUGCCUUCGGGAACUAUGAGACAGGUGCUGCAUGGCUGUCGUCAGCUCGUGUUGUGAAAUGUUGGGUUAAGUCCCGCAACGAGCGCAACCCUUAUUCUUUGUUGCCAGCGACUUGGUCGGGAACUCAAAGGAGACUGCCGUUGAUAAAGCGGAGGAAGGUGGGGACGACGUCAAGUCAUCAUGGCCCUUACGACCAGGGCUACACACGUGCUACAAUGGCGUAUACAAAGGGAAGCGAAGGUGCGAGCUGGAGCGGAUCUCAUAAAGUACGUCUAAGUUCGGAUUGGAGUCUGCAACUCGACUCCAUGAAGUCGGAAUCGCUAGUAAUCGUAGAUCAGAAUGCUACGGUGAAUACGUUCCCGGGCCUUGUACACACCGCCCGUCACACCAUGGGAGUGGGUUGCACCAGAAGUAGAUAGCUUAACCGCGAGGGGGGCGUUUACCACGGUGUGAUUCAUGACUGGGGUGAAGUCGUAACAAGGUAACCA
Molecule: ribosomal RNA, 727 nt
Filed under: uncultured Providencia sp.
Lineage: Bacteria; Pseudomonadati; Pseudomonadota; Gammaproteobacteria; Enterobacterales; Morganellaceae
Description: bacterial SSU rRNA
Rfam family: Bacterial small subunit ribosomal RNA
Source: RNAcentral